RNAcentral lists this ribosomal RNA (460 nucleotides) under uncultured bacterium. RNAcentral's name for it is "partial 16S ribosomal RNA". It matches the Rfam family "Bacterial small subunit ribosomal RNA", at positions 338 to 795 of the family's 1533-position model. The record is from RNAcentral.
CCUACGGGUGGCAGCAGUGAGGAAUAUUGGUCAAUGGACGAGAGUCUGAACCAGCCAAGUAGCGUGAAGGAUGACUGCCCUAUGGGUUGUAAACUUCUUUUAUAUGGGAAUAAAAUGAUCCACGUGUGGGAUUUUGUAUGUACCUUAUGAAUAAGGAUCGGCUAACGCCGUGCCAGCAGCCGCGGUAAUACGGAGGAUCCGAGCGUUAGCCGGAUUUAUUGGGUUUAAAGGGAGCGUAUGUGGAUUGUUAAGUCAGUUGUGAAAGUUUGCGGCUCAACCGUAAAAUUGCAGUUGAAACUGGCAGUCUUGAGUACAGUAGAGGUGGGCGGAAUUCGUGGUGUAGCGGUGAAAUGCUUAGAUAUCACGAAGAACUCCGAUUGCGAAGGCAGUUCACUGGACUGCAACUGACACUGAGGCUCGAAAGUGUGGGUAUCAAACAGGAUUAGAUACCCUUGUAGUC